Molecule: non-coding RNA, 729 nt
Organism: Rattus norvegicus (Norway rat)
Lineage: Eukaryota; Metazoa; Chordata; Mammalia; Rodentia; Muridae
Source: RefSeq, a predicted model, not a curated record
CUCCCUCGUCCCUGCUGGAAUGAUACGGCAAGAAGACGCAGGCUCCUCAGCUUUGAGCUUUCCAGCCUCCAGAACUGUAAGAAAGAAUCUGUAUUUUCAAAUAAAUGACUCGGUCUUGCAUAUCCUGUUACAGCAACAUAAAACAGACCAAGACACCAGCCCAGUACGCUAAGGCCCAUGACCCCAGCAGCGCCCCAUGCACCCCUCCAAUCAGCAGGAGGCCAGCUGUUCUGAUUUGCUUGGCUUUUGUAAUUAAUGUUCCCCAGGAGAUUCAAGGGCAUCCAGCCCCACGAGGUCAAAGAACAAGGAUUCGGGAACCACUUUUGAGACAAGGCUGCAUAAAAGGACAACCGACUCUCUCUCCCUGUGCUUGGAGCAAGAUCUCUAGGGAAAGCAGACAGCAGCAAUCCUGCCCAGGAAGAGAAGAAGAGCAAUCCCAACGGCAGGAACAGCAAUAAAGAUAAUUUCAGCAUGAGCUCUGGUGUUGCUGCUGACGCUUUUGACUCCCAGGCACGAGACCAGUUUCUUAUGUUCAAGCUAUGCCCAGUGUGGCUCGUAGCCUCCUUCUGCUGUCUACAGAUCAAGACGUAGAACUCUCAGCUUCUCCAGCACCAUGCCUGCCUGCACACUGCCAUGCUGUCGACCAAGAAGAUAAUGGACUGAACCUCUGAAACUGUUAGCCAGCCCCAAUUACAUGUUUUCUUUUAUAAUAAAGAAUACCUUGCCGUG